GCUCAGUGUAUAAUAUUGUACAAUGGCACUGCAUCAAAGGACAAGUGUAUAAAAACAACCAAAUUAAAACAGCAAUACAAUGAGUCAAGGAAAGAAAUAGUUUCUGUAGAAGCCUGUCCAUUGAGGAACCAUGCUGUUCGUCUGUAUGUGAGAAGUGAGAGAGAAAGGAAAAUGGAAAGAGGAGGUUGGUAGGUGUUUGGCUAAGUGUGAUGCCAGGUGUUUGGGUAAGGGUGUUGCUAGGUGUUUGGUUAAGGGUGUUGCUAGGUGUUUGGGUAAGGGUGUUGCUAGGUGUUCAGUGUUUGGUUAAAUGUGUUACUGGGUGUUUGGUGUUUGGGUGUUGCUAGGUGUUUGGGUAAGGGUGUUGCUAGGUGUUUGGGUAAGGGUGUUGCUAGGUGUUUGGGUAAGGGUGUUGCUAGGUGUUUGGUUUUUGGUUAAAGGUGUUGCUAGGUGUUUGGUGUUUGGGUAAGGGUGUUGCUAGGUGUUUGGUUAAGGGUGUUGCUAGGUGUUUGGUUAAGGGUGAUGCUAGGUGUUUGGUUAAGGGUGUUGCUAGGUGUUUGGUUAAGGGUGAUGCUAGGUGUUUGGUUAAGGGUGUUGCUAGGUGUUUAGUUAAGGGUGUUGCUAGGUGUUUAGUUAAGGGUGUUGCUAGGUGUUUGGGUAAGGGUGUUGCUAGGUGUUUGGUUUAGGGCACUACAUUAUCCAUGGAAGAGGUCUGUUGGUCUUCAACAAGAGCCCUCUGUCUGGAUCCAUUCUGUCCAUCCAUCUGUUUGUUCAUCAACUACUGGAGGAGAGACCGGAUGGAGAAUCAGAAACACUUCUCUUCUAAAAAAUAUGUCCUCUCAUUUUUCGUUCAAAUCUGUUGCUCAUCUACAGUAGCAGCAAUUAGAGGAUCUUCUAGAAAGACAGAUUUAUUUUGACUUCACUUUACAAACUCGCAUUUGAAUACAGAAUAGUGUUACCCCCCCCCCUCCCUCACCACAGCUAUAAUCGAGGUAACAAACACGUGAUAAUAAUGACAGUGAUCGUAAUAUUCCAUAGUAAUGCUGUAGCAAUUAUAAUAAUAAUAAUAGUCAUUGUAAUAACAAGAUUAAAGAGAGUAAAUGAAGAGAUAUUUACAUGUAGUAAGUGUGGUUGUGGUAAGCAGGGUAUUGCUCAGUAAUCUCUGAACCAUAGCUUGAAGGUUCUGAGGGAGUUUGUAAUUGAGCCUGCUAGAGGUCGACGUCACAGUGUGGUUCCACACACACACACACACACACACGUGCAUGCACGCACGCACACACACACACGCAGCUACUAGGACACAAUAACCUCCUCCCAUUGGCUGCUGUGCCAUUUGUCUGUUUGUGAUUGUAGGGUUUGUACCUGUACUCUUGAGAUCAGGUGAUCAGGUAGACCCGGGUAGAGGGUUCAACUCAACAGGUAGGAACAGAACAGUUGGGUCACCUCCCUUCUUAUUGUGAAGAGUUGGUAGAAGUUAUUUGAAACUCCUGGUUGAAAACGUUCUUGUUUUAGAUUCCAGGGUGACUCCAUCGUCGAAUUUCCAGUUAACCCCUGAAGACAUGUGACCAGGGUCAGGGUUCAAGAUACUGCUAGAAAUUGAGGUAUUUGUAGUUUGAUCGUCCGCCUGAAAGAUGUUUGCACAUUUGUAGGUGGGAGGGGGGCGUGUCCAGAGGGAGGUGUCCUGGUGCUGUGUCCAGAGAUGGCUAUUGACCAAGUGUGAACCUGGAGGUAAGACCAGUCUCAGUCUGGUUGAACCCAGGCCCAUUGUUAAACGAGUGAGUCUCAGUCUGGUUGAACCCAGGCCCAUUGUUAAACGAGUGAGUCUCAGUCUGGUUGAACCCAGGCCCAUUGUUAAACGAGUGAGUCUCAGUCUGGUUGAACAAAAGAACGUCCAGCAAAUUAAAAUGUACAGUAGCGAAGUCUACACAGUCUAUCACACAAUUUUUUACUUAAAAAUCGCACUGUUGGUUAAUGCCUAGUAAGUAAGUAUUUCACUGUAAGGUUGUACUUGUUGUAUUCGGCGCACGUGACAAAUAAACUUUGAUUUGAUUAACAGUAGAGUAGUCUACACCGUCUAACACACUAACAGCAGAGCAGAUGACACAGUCUAUAGGAGUCCCACGCAUCAGCAGAAAAUAUUAAACAGACCAAGAAUAACCAGAAGUGAGGUGUAAAAAUAAUGUGAAGCUGUACUGAGGCUGAAUGAAAACAUCCCUCCCUGUGGAAUGUUCAUGUAGACCGUAGAUAGAUAAUCCUUAGGAACAAUGUCUUCAGGUUGUGGAGAAUCGUUGACGGUGGAAAGAGGAGCAGAUAUCUCUGUCUUUGUGGAGAAUCGUUGACGGUGGAAAGAGGAGCAGAUAUCUCUGUCUUUGUGGAGAAUCGUUGACGGUGGAAAGAGGAGCAGAUAUCUCUGUCUUUGUAGAGAAUCGUUGACGGUGGAACGAGGAGCAGAUAUCUCUGUCUUUGUGGAGAAUCGUUGACAGAGGAAAGUGGAGCAGAUAUCUCUGUCUUUGUAGAGAAUCGUUGACAGAGGAAAGUGGAGCAGAUAUCUCUGUCUUUGUAGAGAAUCGUUGACGGUGGAACGAGGAGCAGAUAUCUCUGUCUUUGUAGAGAAUCGUUGACAGUGGAAAGAGGAGCAGAUAUCUCUGUCUUUGUGGAGAAUCGUUGACGGUGGAACGAGGAGCAGAUAUCUCUGUCUUUGUGGAGAAUCGUUGACGGUGGAAAGAGGAGCAGAUAUCUCUGUCUUUGUGGAGAAUCGUUGAUGGUGGAAAGAGGAGCAGAUAUCUCUGUCUUUGUAGAGAAUCGUUGACAGAGGAAAGUGGAGCAGAUAUCUCUAUCUUUGUGCUCGUAUGUGUGGAGAGGUUUCAACGAUAUAAAAACAAUACGUCAGGAUACAGUGGACAUUACAGGACGUUUGAAACUCAGGCAGAAUUGAAUCUGUGAUUGGGGUUACAGGCAGUGCAGCUUUUAAAGGAAAUGUCCUAUCCAGCCAACAUAUGCAGUAUUUUCUGUGAAUGGGAUCUCUGCCAACGCAGGAACAUUUAUUUUUAAAAGCUGCAAAGUCUAUAACUCAGGCUAUUCAGUGGAUACAUAAAAGUAUUCAAUUUAUUGAUAUGUGAACAGGAAAAAGGCCCCGAGAUAUACAUGGGUCUAGUUUGAGGUUAAACUAAUAGACAAAAGAGAGACGGAACUCUGGGCGUACUAAAAAGCAUGCAAGGACUACGACGAUAUCCAAAGGAAAGAUAGACCUCUGUCUAACUCAAUAAACCACAUACUGUUCUAUAAUAAUUCUGUCCUGAAUAUUUACAUAUUUGUGUAUAAACCUUUAGCAUGGUACAAGAAAAAACCCACAUCUAGCUGGUUAGGCACAUGGAGUUGGAGAGAGAGAGAGGAAGAAAGAGAGAGAGGGAGAAAGAGAGAGAGAGAGAAAGAGCGAGAGAGAGGGAGAGAAAGAGAGAGAGAGAGGGAGAGAGACAGAGACAGAGAGAGAGAAAGAG
Oncorhynchus tshawytscha (Chinook salmon) is the source of this 3494-nucleotide long non-coding RNA. The record is from Ensembl. Lineage: Eukaryota; Metazoa; Chordata; Actinopteri; Salmoniformes; Salmonidae.